UACGAAGGGGGCUAGCGUUGCUCGGAAUUACUGGGCGUAAAGCGCACGUAGGCGGUUUCUUAAGUCGGGGGUGAAAUCCUGGAGCUCAACUCCAGAACUGCCUUCGAUACUGAGAGACUUGAGUCCGGGAGAGGUGAGUGGAACUGCGAGUGUAGAGGUGAAAUUCGUAGAUAUUCGCAAGAACACCAGUAGCGAAGGCGGCUCACUGGCCCGGUACUGACGCUGAGGUGCGAAAGCGUGGGGAGCAAACAGG
RNAcentral lists this ribosomal RNA (253 nucleotides) under uncultured bacterium. RNAcentral's name for it is "partial 16S ribosomal RNA". It matches the Rfam family "Bacterial small subunit ribosomal RNA", at positions 524 to 776 of the family's 1533-position model. The record is from RNAcentral.